UACGUAGGUGGCAAGCGUUGUCCGGAUUUACUGGGCGUAAAGAGCGCGCAGGCGGUCGUUCAAGUCGCGUGUGAAAGCCCCCGGCUCAACUGGGGAGGGUCACGCGAUACUGAUCGACUCGAAGGCAGGAGAGGGUAGUGGAAUUCCCGGUGUAGUGGUGAAAUGCGUAGAUAUCGGGAGGAACACCAGUGGCGAAGGCGACUACCUGGCCUGUUCUUCGCGCUGAGGCGCGAAAGCUAGGGGAGCAAACGGG
RNAcentral lists this ribosomal RNA (253 nucleotides) under uncultured bacterium. Its description in RNAcentral is "partial 16S ribosomal RNA". It matches the Rfam family "Bacterial small subunit ribosomal RNA", at positions 524 to 776 of the family's 1533-position model. The record is from RNAcentral.